Molecule: ribosomal RNA, 404 nt
Filed under: uncultured Paracoccaceae bacterium
Lineage: Bacteria; Pseudomonadati; Pseudomonadota; Alphaproteobacteria; Rhodobacterales; Paracoccaceae
Description: bacterial SSU rRNA
Rfam family: Bacterial small subunit ribosomal RNA
Source: RNAcentral
AAAGCCUGAUCCAGCCAUGCCGCGUCUGUGAAGAAGGUCUUCGGAUUGUAAAGCACUUUAAGUUGGGAGGAAGGGUUUCUGGCUAAUAUCCAGGAAUUUUGACGUUACCGACAGAAUAAGCACCGGCUAACUUCGUGCCAGCAGCCGCGGUAAUACGAAGGGGGCUAGCGUUGUUCGGAAUCACUGGGCGUAAAGCGCACGUAGGCGGAUUUUUAAGUCAGGGGUGAAAUCCCGGGGCUCAACCUCGGAACUGCCUUUGAUACUGGAAGUCUGGAGUCCGAGAGAGGUGAGUGGAACUCCGAGUGUAGAGGUGAAAUUCGUAGAUAUUCGGAAGAACACCAGUGGCGAAGGCGGCUCACUGGCUCGGUACUGACGCUGAGGUGCGAAAGCGUGGGGAGCAAACA